This 64-nucleotide transfer RNA is filed under the name Zorka agnesae. RNAcentral's name for it is "tRNA-Ser". The record is from RNAcentral. Lineage: Eukaryota; Metazoa; Arthropoda; Insecta; Hemiptera; Cicadellidae.
AGAUAUUUAGCUUAUAUAAAGCGRCUACUUUGAAAGUAGAAGAAAGAUGGUAAUUUAAUAUCUU